CAGGGAAGAAGCGAAAGUGACGGUACCUGCAGAAAAAGCGCCGGCUAAAUACGUGCCAGCAGCCGCGGUAAUACGUAGGGCGCAAGCGUAUCUCGGAAUUAUUGGGCGUAAAGAGCUCGUAGGCGGUUUGUCGCGUCUGCUGUGAAAUCCCGAGGCUCAACCUCGGGCCUGCAGUGGGUACGGGCAGAGUAGAGUGCGGUAGGGGAGAUUGGAAUUCCUGGUGUAGCGGUGGAAUGCGCAGAUAUCAGGAGGAACACCGAUGGCGAAGGCAGAUCUCUGGGCCGUAACUGACGCUGAGGAGCGAAAGGGUGGGGAGCAAACAGGCUUAGAUACCCUGGUAGUCCACCCCGUAAACGUUGGGAACUAGUUGUGGGGUCCAUUCCACGGAUUCCGUGACGCAGCUAACGCAUUAAGUUCCCCGCCUGGGGAGUACGGCCGCAAGGCUAAAACUCAAAGGAAUUGACGGGGACCCGCACAAGCGGCGGAGCAUGCGGAUUAAUUCGAUGCAACGCGAAGAACCUUACCAAGGCUUGACAUAUACGAGAACGGGCCAGAAAUGGUCAACUCUUUGGACACUCGUAAACAGGUGGUGCAUGGUUGUCGUCAGCUCGUGUCGUGAGAUGUUGGGUUAAGUCCCGCAACGAGCGCAACCCUCGUUCUAUGUUGCCAGCACGUAAUGGUGGGAACUCAUGGGAUACUGCCGGGGUCAACUCGGAGGAAGGUGGGGAUGACGUCAAAUCAUCAUGCCCCUUAUGUCUUGGGCUUCACGCAUGCUACAAUGGGUGGUACAAAGGGCUGCAAUACCGCGAGGUGGAGCGAUAUCUCCAAAAAGCCGGUCCCAGUUCGGAUUGAGGU
This 855-nucleotide ribosomal RNA is filed under the name Microbacterium sp. BAC1097. RNAcentral describes it as "bacterial SSU rRNA". It matches the Rfam family "Bacterial small subunit ribosomal RNA", at positions 440 to 1304 of the family's 1533-position model. The record is from RNAcentral. Lineage: Bacteria; Bacillati; Actinomycetota; Actinomycetes; Micrococcales; Microbacteriaceae.